UACGUAGGCAGCGAGCGUUGUUCGGAGUUACUGGGCGUAAAGAGUGCGUAGGCGGUUCUUUAAGUUUGGUGUGAAAUCUCCCGGCUUAACUGGGAGGGUGCGCCGAAAACUGGGGGACUGGAGUGUGGGAGAGGCAAGCGGAAUUCCUGGUGUAGCGGUGAAAUGCGUAGAUAUCAGGAGGAACACCUGUGGUGUAGACAGCUUGCUGGACCACGACUGACGCUGAGGCACGAAAGCGUGGGGAGCAAACAGG
RNAcentral lists this ribosomal RNA (253 nucleotides) under uncultured bacterium. RNAcentral describes it as "partial 16S ribosomal RNA". It matches the Rfam family "Bacterial small subunit ribosomal RNA", at positions 524 to 776 of the family's 1533-position model. The record is from RNAcentral.